Molecule: ribosomal RNA, 465 nt
Filed under: uncultured bacterium
Lineage: Bacteria
Description: partial 16S ribosomal RNA
Rfam family: Bacterial small subunit ribosomal RNA
Source: RNAcentral
GACGAACGCUGGCGGCGUGCUUAACACAUGCAAGUCGAACGCUGAACCCGCUUCGGUGGGGGAUGAGUGGCGAACGGGUGAGUAACACGUGGGCAACCUGCCCCCGGCUCUGGGAUAACUCCAAGAAAUUGGGGCUAAUACCGGAUGUGACCGCUGGCCGCAUGGUCUGGUGGUGGAAAGGGUUUCCGGCUGGGGAUGGGCCCGCGGCCUAUCAGCUUGUUGGUGGGGUAGUGGCCUACCAAGGCGACGACGGGUAGCCGGCCUGAGAGGGUGACCGGCCACACUGGGACUGAGACACGGCCCAGACUCCUACGGGAGGCAGCAGUGGGGAAUAUUGCGCAAUGGGCGGAAGCCUGACGCAGCGGCGCCGCGUGGGGGAUGACGGCCUUCGGGUUGUAAACCUCUUUCAGCAGGGACGAAGCGCAAGUGACGGUACCUGCAGAAGAAGCACCGGCCAACUACGUG